GGACCGGGCUUCCGUAUACGGGUAUAUAUAACGAGAACAUCCUCUGAAUACGGGUGCAGGGCAAAAUAAAUUUUACACUUUAGGGCUUUUUUUCCGAUGGCGGCACUUGAAAAACUUCUUGUCAAACCUCUAUGCUGAAUGUAAUUCAUCAAGGUCUGUAGAUUAAUAGACGGCUGGGAUCAGGUCGUCGCAUGACUCAGUGCGCAUGCGCGGUCAGCCAUGUUUGGUGCUAUUCUCCACUACUAAUGUUUACCACAUAAUGUAAACAAACAGUGUAUGGCAUGUCAAAAAAAUUUCCAAUUGAAAAUUCAUUUAUUUAUUGGAUAAAUAUUGUACGUCAAUGUUGUGCGAUCGGUUGCUUUCCCCAGAGAUUCAGAUCGUCGUCGAAAAUGAUCUACUGGUGCUGGUGUAAGCCAAAUAAAACCAAGCUCAAGGUUAUGUGAGAUAUAUUUAUGAAAAUCCAUUAUGAUGAAUCUCAAUAUGAACAACAUCGUCAGGAGGCUCAAAAAAAAUUAAAACCAAAUGCAGUACCAACUUUGUUUGGUGAUGUUUUGAUAGAUUAUUUGAGUAAAAUCCACCAAAAUAAAAGUAACUACAUGAUGUUAGUUGGACAUUAUUUGAAUCACUAAAGCAUAAAGGUUUGACACGAAGUUUUUCAAGCGCCGCCAUCGGAAAAAAAAGCCCUAAAGUGUAAAAUUUAUUUUGCCCUGUGAAUUGGACGACUGGGGUUCACAUCGAUGUAUAUAUAUACUAUUUAGGACAAUGAUCAAUAUACUUGAGUUCUUAUAGGUAUUGCAAUACCCAGGGGUAUAGCACUACGUGUAUUUUUAUGUGGGUUUAUUCGCCACAAGGGACCCUAGACUGAGUCUAGUGAGUAUAGGUAUGGCCCGCCAUAUUGUAUUUAGAUGGUAAAUCGGUAUACUUCUACGUUAUCUGUCGCGUUUCUUCCUUACCCGCUGAAUUGAAUUUUCGGUUAAUAAUUGUAAUAAAUAUAUUCAGGUAAUUGAUUAAUUUAAAUAGAUAAUAAGCUAUAGAAAAAAGGUCUAAGAAAAGAAUGUGGCCACAAACAACUUCCUAUCCUCAGCUACCAUUUUUCCCAUAACUUUUUAUUUAUUUAAAUAAACAAAAAGCUAUUGAAAAAAUGGUAGCUGAGGAAAGAAAGUUGCCAAAUGUUAAUUUAUACGAAAUUAAUUUUGCCAAAGAAAUAAACAAGCAGACAACA
Molecule: long non-coding RNA, 1222 nt
Organism: Aphidius gifuensis
Lineage: Eukaryota; Metazoa; Arthropoda; Insecta; Hymenoptera; Braconidae
Exons: 3
Source: RefSeq, a predicted model, not a curated record